UGGAUCUCUAACGAGCACGAGACGAGCUCAUUUUGAGCGAAGUGACUGAUACCACGCUUCCAGGAAAAGCUCCUAAGCUUCAGCUUACGCAGACCGUACCGUAAACCGACACAGGUGGGCAGGAUGAGAAUUCUCAGGCGCUUGAGAGAACUCGGGUGAAGGAACUAGGCAACAUGGCACCGUAACUUCGGGAGAAGGUGCGCCCUUUUUGGUGGCUACAUGCGUAGCUGAGCUGAGAGGGGCCGCAGUGACCAGGCCGCUGCGACUGUUUAUCAAAAACACAGCACUCUGCAAACACGAAAGUGGACGUAUAGGGUGUGACGCCUGCCCGGUGCUGGAAGGUUAAUUGAUGGGGUCAGCCGCAAGGCGAAGCUCUUGAUCGAAGCCCCAGUAAACGGCGGCCGUAACUAUAACGGUCCUAAGGUAGCGAAAUUCCUUGUCGGGUAAGUUCCGACCUGCACGAAUGGCGUAACGACAGCGGCGCUGUCUCCACCCGAGACUCAGUGAAAUUGAAAUCGCUGUGAAGAUGCAGCGUUCCCGUGGCAAGACGGAAAGACCCCGUGAACCUUUACUAUAGCUUUACACUGAACGUUGAGUUCGUCUGUGUAGGAUAGGUGGGAGGCUGUGAAACCCUGGCGCUAGCUGGGGUGGAGCCAACCUUGAAAUACCACCCUGUCGUGCUUGACGUUCUAACCUGGGCCCGUAAUCCGGGUCGGGGACCGUGUAUGGUGGGUAGUUUGACUGGGGCGGUCUCCUCCCAAAGAGUAACGGAGGAGCACGAAGGUACGCUCAGCGCGGUCGGACAUCGCGCACUGUGUGCAAAGGCAUAAGCGUGCUUGACUGCAAGAGCGACGGCUCAAGCAGGUACGAAAGUAGGUCUUAGUGAUCCGGUGGUCCUGUAUGGAAAGGCCAUCGCUCAACGGAUAAAAGGUACUCCGGGGAUAACAGGCUGAUACCGCCCAAGAGUUCAUAUCGACGGCGGUGUUUGGCACCUCGAUGUCGGCUCAUCACAUCCUGGGGCUGUAGUCGGUCCCAAGGGUAUGGCUGUUCGCCAUUUAAAGUGGUACGCGAGCUGGGUUCAGAACGUCGUGAGACAGUUCGGUCCCUAUCUGCCAUGGGCGUUGGAGAUUUGAGAGGGGCUGCUCCUAGUACGAGAGGACCGGAGUGGACGAACCUCUGGUGUUCCGGUUGUCACGCCAGUGGCAUUGCCGGGUAGCUAUGUUCGGAAGCGAUAACCGCUGAAAGCAUCUAAGCGGGAAGCGCGCCUCAAGAUGAGAUCUCCCGGGGCACAAGCCCCCUGAAGGAACCAUCAAGACUAGGUGGUUGAUAGGCAGGGUGUGUAAGCGCAGCAAUGCGUUGAGCUAACCUGUACUAAUGAUCCGUGUGGCUUGACCAU
Molecule: ribosomal RNA, 1396 nt
Filed under: metagenome
Description: bacterial LSU rRNA
Rfam family: Bacterial large subunit ribosomal RNA
Source: RNAcentral